GAAGUGCCGAGCCAGGAGAGGCGGUGAGAGUACCAGGACUGGCGGUCGAAGGGGAGGAGGAGCGCGAUGGCCUGGCCGCCGAUCCAUGUCUCGAUGCCGCACCAGCCGCAGGCGACGAGGGCGCGGAGGAGGGCGGGGAUGUGGGCGCCGUUGAUGCCGAAGCUGGAGCGAAGGAGGACGGGGAAGGGGAUGCCGUAGCGGGUACCGGGGUGGGCGGUGAGGACGAGGGG
RNAcentral lists this unclassified non-coding RNA (230 nucleotides) under Hevea brasiliensis (rubber tree). The record is from RNAcentral. Lineage: Eukaryota; Viridiplantae; Streptophyta; Magnoliopsida; Malpighiales; Euphorbiaceae.